This 1882-nucleotide long non-coding RNA is filed under the name Marmota monax (woodchuck). The record is from RNAcentral. Lineage: Eukaryota; Metazoa; Chordata; Mammalia; Rodentia; Sciuridae.
CUUGUAUGCAUGAGGCCCUGGAUUCAAUCCUUAGCACCACAUAAAAAUAAAUAAAUAAAGAUAUUUUAAAAUGAAAAAAAAAAAGAAACAUCCUGUAAGAAUACAGGACUAGCUAGUAACUAAAGUAUAUAAAAAUGGAAACGUUCAAACGUGCUAGCUGUUGUUAGAUUUAAUAUGUUGAGGGAGUCUGUGUCCAUGAAAAGACAGGCUAUAUUUGAUCCUCAUAUCCUGCUUUGUCCCUCUGUUUGCAAACAUUUCCCUCCUUUACUAUUUGUGAACACCUUUGAGGGAAAUCCUUAUAUGAGUGAAUAUCAGUUUGGACCAUAGGUCUAUAUACAAAGCUCUUUUUUCUUUUUCUAUGUGUCCCUGAUUAUGCCCAUGCCAUCAAAGGAACUAACAGGCUUUCUCAUUUAUUUUACUAAGAAUUCCAAAGGGCUGAUUCUAUGUUGGUAAUUCUUAAUGGUCUUUUGGAAUAUGGGUAGUUGCCACCUUAGAUUCCAUUACUGGAAACAUCUGUUUCUACCUGAUGGAAAUAACCAAAGGGUUAUCUGACAAGAUAAAGAGGGGAUUAAUAUGUCCAGUGGGAAAAUAAGCAGGAGGAGAAAAACCACUUUAAAACCAAUUUUACCACUCUCUGAAGAAGCAAUUCCUCACAUAAAACAGAAAAUUGAACAUGUUUAGGAAUUUAUAGACACUAUAGGUAGUGAGAUUUCUUCUAAAUAAAUAUGUAAUAAACACUGCAUUGUAAUGAGGAGGACUUUGGUAUAUGUACUUCGAACAAAAUUGCAGAAGAAACCUCAAAUCACAUAAUCAUGGGAUUAGGAAGGAAUUUAGAAAGCAUCUGGUCAAGUCCUCCUUAAAGUAUCUUCUUGCGUCAAAAGAGACCCAGUUCUUAUUAAUGUGAAAGCAGAGAAACAAUCACACAUAGGACUAAAUACCCAACAAGACCUCUAACUGGUCCUUUUUAAGAUUCAGUGACUGCUGCAUUGAAGUAUUUAUUGUGCAAGAAAAGAAACAAAAUUUUAAAAUAAAACUUGGCUCUAAGGUUAACUUUUUUAGUUUAACAGUGUUCCUGACAGUUUCACCACUUAUGAAAUAAAUUCAACCUUUUAAGGUCUCUCAGGAAAAUUCUCUUUGUGAUACCAUGUUUAGGAAACAGAGAUCCAAAUGCCAUAUGGUAGCAUAAGAGCUGUUUAAAGUCUGAGCAGAAGGGAAGGCAUUCUGAAAACCAUAGCCUUUGAGACUCAGUUAUAGUCCAGCAGUAUUUAGCCUGGAGAAGGCAUCCCACUUAGCACUUUGUAUUCUCUGAAAGAGCACUGUGUGGAAGAUGGCAGUCUUAUUCUGACACAGUGCCAGGCCAACAGGUGGAAGUUUCUGUGAGCCUAGCUUUGGAUAAUGGUGGGAAAUGCUGAGUCCUCUUCACAGCCUCCCCAUAAAGUACAGAUUUUCUUUAUCCAUGGGAAAACCCUGAAACAGGCAUUGAGUCCCAUUCCCAAAGUCACAGCUAGAAAGUGCAGAGGAUCUAUAGGAAGUCAGUCCUCUCUGGGGGUCUCCUGCAAACCCAGUGAAAAACUCAUGUCUCCAUGCUGAUGAACUAGGGGGAUCUCUUUGGCUUGGCUCUUUGAAGAGAAAUGACUACAGUAUUACAUCACAUCUAAGAGUUCUGGCUAAACAGCCAGGCUGAGUUCAAAUUGUAAUUUGUCUCUUCUUAGCUGGGAUUUCUUAUUCUUACUGAGCCUGAGCUUUCCUUGCCUAUGAUAUGUAAGUGAUGGUAGCAUUCAUCUCACUGGGUUGUUCUGAGGAUUAACUUUUAAUAAAUACAGACCAUGUAAAACAGUGCCUGGCAGUAUGUACUCAAUAAAUUCUAGCUAAAUAAUUUGGA